UACAGAGGGUGCAAGCGUUGUUCGGAAUUACUGGGCGUAAAGCGCGUGUAGGCUGCGGCGUAAGUCGGAUGUGAAAGCCCUUGGCUUAACCAAGGAAGUGCAUCUGAUACUGCGUCGCUUGAGUGUCGGAGGGGAUGGCGGAAUUCCCGGUGUAGAGGUGAAAUUCGUAGAUAUCGGGAGGAACACCUGUGGCGAAGGCGGCCAUCUGGACGAUAACUGACGCUGAGACGCGAAAGCGUGGGUAGCAAACAGG
Molecule: ribosomal RNA, 253 nt
Filed under: uncultured bacterium
Lineage: Bacteria
Description: partial 16S ribosomal RNA
Rfam family: Bacterial small subunit ribosomal RNA
Source: RNAcentral